AUUGAACGCUGGCGGCAGGCUUAACACAUGCAAGUCGAGCGGGGUGAUGGUGCUUGCACUAUCACUUAGCGGCGGACGGGUGAGUAAUGCCUAGGGAUCUGCCUAUUAGUGGGGGACAACAUCUCGAAAGGGAUGCUAAUACCGCAUACGUUCUAAGGGAGAAAGCAGGGGAUCACUUGUGACCUUGCGCUAAUAGAUGAGCCUAAGGCGGCUUAGCUAGUUGGUGGGGUAACGGCCUACCAAGGCGACGAUCUGUAGCGGGUCUGAGAGGAGGGUCCGCCACACUGGGGCCGAGACACGGCCCAGGAUCCUACGGGAGGCAGCAGUGGGGAAUAUCGGACAAUGGGGGGAACCCUGAUCCAGCCAUGCCGCGUGUGGGAAGAAGGCCUUAUGGUUGUAAAGCACUUUAAGCGAGGAGGAGGCUCUUUUGGUUAAUACCCAAGAUGAGUGGACGUUACUCGCAGAAUAAGCACCGGCUAACUCUGUGCCAGCCGCCGCCGUAA
This 503-nucleotide ribosomal RNA is filed under the name uncultured bacterium. RNAcentral describes it as "partial 16S ribosomal RNA". It matches the Rfam family "Bacterial small subunit ribosomal RNA", at positions 30 to 523 of the family's 1533-position model. The record is from RNAcentral.